CUCUCAUUCUGGGUGCUUGGGGGAGCAACAAUGCCUGGGAAGGGAAGAGAAUGUAUUGGUUGGAUAUGUGGAGAAGCAGUUCUCAGGCUCAGUUCUUUCCCACCAGAGGCAGGGAGUGGCACAAGCACCAAAGCAUGGAGGGCAGUAAGACUUUGUCCUACCUUCUGGCUGAAGCUGGACCCAAAAGCUGAAAGCAUGGGGAUCUUACACUGGACCAGCAUUUGUGUCAAAUCUAGCUGCAAUGCCUGAGUCCCCCAAGCUGCCUCUCAUCUGUGAAUCACCUUUCAUUUGUUUCUACCCAUGCAGCUGCUAUUUUUUAUUUAGUCUAAUUUUAGCAUAUCUACCAGCAGCUGCAAAUGUAAAUGGUCCCCUUUGGUAUCCAGCACGCCCAAUUAGAGAAGUGGCCCACAUGAGGUAUGUUGGUUUCCCCCGCUCCACAUAACUUUAAAAAUAGACAAGUAAUUAACAGUUUCUGCAAAGUAUGAUGUUAUUACAAACUGUGUUGCAUGAUUGUAUGGGGUUUAAUUUUUUUUCUGAUAAAUUCUGAGCACAAAGUGUAAAGUUACACACAAAUAUUUCCUUUCAGAAUUGGGAAACCAAGGACUUUGUCCCUGAGCUGCCACAUUGGACCAGGAAAUUGAAGCUCACUGGGAGCACAGAAACAGGGCAGAAAAACAGACUUCUGGCAGUGAGUGAAACUUCCAUGUGAUGGUGUGUUUACUUCUUAGGAAAGGAAAUGAAACAUCUAGGAGGAAAAAGGGAUGAUGAAAGAAAAAUUCAG
Molecule: long non-coding RNA, 781 nt
Filed under: Parus major (Great Tit)
Lineage: Eukaryota; Metazoa; Chordata; Aves; Passeriformes; Paridae
Description: lncRNA (ENSPMJG00000016069.1)
Source: RNAcentral